Epinephelus moara (kelp grouper) is the source of this 1101-nucleotide long non-coding RNA. RefSeq lists it as uncharacterized. NCBI's taxonomy places the organism in Eukaryota, Metazoa, Chordata, Actinopteri, Perciformes, Serranidae. The transcript is spliced from 3 exons. The record is from RefSeq and is a predicted model, not a curated record.
UUGACGCGUUGAUGGAACUGCUUUUCCACAAUGUUGUGGAAGACCCCCGUCCAUAUCAGGAGCUCCUGGACAAGAUCCCUGUACCAGAGCCACUGUGUGCCCAGUUCACCAGGCCAGAUAAGCAGGAUGCAGUUGCCAGACACAAGUCCCGCUUUUCCAAGGACAGACACAGAUGAGUUCCUGUCUAUGGAUGGGGGAUAAGAACAGGCCCAAGCCCCGUCAGCCCUACUGACAUUUCAGACUGAGCUGAGUACUUCAUGGUUGCAGUCUUCACGUGAGAUGCUGAGGACUGAUCAUCUGCUAGAGGUUGCCAUCUUUCCUCUCUGGUUACAUGAAACAUGUCUCAGACUGUCGUCCACACGCACAGGGGCCCAAUGAAGUUCCACAUCGCUCAAAAGUUCCUCAUCUUCAACCUUCAAGUCCCUCUGUUACCAAACACCUAAUUACAUUUCAAAGCUCGGUUAAAAUUUCAUCCAUAAACCUGCACUCCACAAACACCAUCAGGCUGAGGUCUAUGUUGUUAAGGACAUUGGUGUAUAUUCCCCUAUUAUCAGGGUCCCCAUGGUCAUGAAAAAGUGUAUCAUUUAAGCCCUUGCUGAUAAAAACCCUAUCCAGUAAACAUGGCAGUGUUUUGAUGCUAUCCAAGCCAAUGUUCAUAUUUAUCAUGCUUUAAUUGUAAUGUGGUGUUGUCAAGGUUUGAAAAUUGCUUGACUUUUGAAAAAAAUACUUGAGAUCUGAAUUCAAAUCUGGACAGAUAAUAAUGUAAUGGUUGUUUCAUAACAGUAUUCCUGUCACAAUAGCACUGUAUUGUUCACAGCACAAUUUGAUUUAAUGUGAUGAAGACAUAUUUAUGAAUAUAUAUAUUUAUAUACUGUAAUUUCAAUGAAAAAUUUAAAAUUUUCAAAACAUCUUUUGAUUUAUUUGUCUUUUCUAAAUUAUUUUCAUUUCCUGAAAAUAUUUAAUCUAAAACUAGUCUAAUUCCUACUGGGAGUUUCCAAUAUAACCUGUAUUGCAUUGCAGUACAUUCUGUUAUGUCAUAAUUAUAUCAUUCAGCACAAAAAAGAACUUUUGAAAUGUUGCAAUUUUAUUUUUAUUUUAAUU